GUGAGGAAUAUUGCGCAAUGGAGGCAACUCUGACGCAGCCAUGCCGCGUGCAGGAAGAAGGCGCUACGCGUUGUAAACUGCUUUUAACCGGGAAGAAACCCCAGGACGCGUCCUGGGUUGACGGUACCGGAGGAAUAAGCACCGGCUAACUUCGUGCCAGCAGCCGCGGUAAUACGAAGGGUGCAAGCGUUAUCCGGAUUCAUUGGGUUUAAAGGGUGCGUAGGCGGAGCGUUAAGUCAGUGGUGAAAUCCUGCAGCUUAACUGUAGACUUGCCAUUGAUACUGGCGCUCUUGAGUGCGCUUGAAGUGGGCGGAAUGUGCCGUGUAGCGGUGAAAUGCUUAGAUAUGGCACAGAACACCAAUUGCGAAGGCAGCUCACUAAGGCGAUACUGACGCUGAGGCACGAAAGCGUGGGGAUCGAACAGGAUUAGAUACCCCAGUAGUCC
This 445-nucleotide ribosomal RNA is filed under the name uncultured bacterium. RNAcentral describes it as "bacterial SSU rRNA". It matches the Rfam family "Bacterial small subunit ribosomal RNA", at positions 354 to 796 of the family's 1533-position model. The record is from RNAcentral.